AGUGAACGCUGGCGGUAGGCCUAACACAUGCAAGUCGAACGGCAGCACAGUAAGAGCUUGCUCUUACGGGUGGCGAGUGGCGGACGGGUGAGGAAUACAUCGGCAUCUACUUUUUCGUGGGGGAUAACGUAGGGAAACUUACGCUAAUACCGCAUACGACCUACGGGUGAAAGCAGGGGAUCUUCGGACCUUGCGCGAUUGAAUGAGCCGAUGUCGGAUUAGCUAGUUGGGGGGGUAAAGGCCCACCAAGGCGACGAGCCGUAGCUGGUCUGAGAGGAUGAUCGGCCACACUGGAACUGAGACACGGUCAAGACUCCUACGGGAGGAACAAGUGGGGAAUAUUCGACAAUGGGCGAAAGCCUGAUCCAGCCAGACCGCGUGGGUGAAGAAGGCCUCCGGUUUGUAAAGCCCUUUGUUUGGGAAAGAAAAGCAGCAGGUUAAUACCGCGCUGUUCUGACGGUACCCAAAGAAUAAGCACCGGCUAACUUCGUG
This 492-nucleotide ribosomal RNA is filed under the name uncultured bacterium. Its description in RNAcentral is "partial 16S ribosomal RNA". It matches the Rfam family "Bacterial small subunit ribosomal RNA", at positions 29 to 507 of the family's 1533-position model. The record is from RNAcentral.